AAGGUAGCCGUAUCGGAAGGUGCGGCUGGAUCACCUCCUUUCUAA
This 45-nucleotide ribosomal RNA is filed under the name Bacillus amyloliquefaciens. RNAcentral describes it as "partial 16S ribosomal RNA". The record is from RNAcentral. Lineage: Bacteria; Bacillati; Bacillota; Bacilli; Caryophanales; Bacillaceae.